UGGGUGUGUCUGGGUGGGUCACAGAGAUGUGACCUUGGGGAUUACAUCUCAUCUUUCACCUCUUCCUCUCUUGUACUGUUCCCCUGUUCUACUUCCUGACCACCAUGAACUAAGCAGCUUUGUUUCACCUUGCCCUUCCAUCAUGCCUCUUCCUUAGAGCCAUCUGCCAUGGGCUGAAUUCCCUGCAACCGUGAGCCACUGAAACUUCUCCCCACUUAAGCUGUGCUGUCAGAUGAUGGCACUGUCCCUUGCCAAAGACUGUUCCAGCCACUAGAAACCAGGAACCCAACCAGAUGCACUAAAGCCCCUGCCCCGGGGGAGCCUGCAGUCCAACAGCAACCACCAAAGGAGCAAGUUAAGGAACGUGCAGAGAAAGAACACAGAGUCGGGAAUCUGAAGCUACUUGAGUUCUGAGCAGCUGGGCCAGUGAGUGGAUGAAAUGCUGAUGGGCAGGGGAAGCCAUGUCAGCCCUGUGUCUCCACAGCAAGCUGCCUAAGGAAAUUUGUCUGAGGAUGAAGCCAGCAACUGAAAACAAAUUAGAGAUGGAGGGACCGAGUCCGGGAUGUUGCUUGAGCCCUGUGUGCAGGACUGCGGAAGCCAGCUCUAGCCCCUUUGCAAGUCUUGCUUAUUGACUCUUGCUCUUAUGCCAGGGUGAGUUUGGGUGGGAUUUCCACCCAAAGAAACCUUAAAGGACUGUGGCCUGCUGAAUGCCAGCUGGAGACAGGUUUUGUUGGUCCACACAGGAUUAAAAUUUUGAGGCAAC
RNAcentral lists this long non-coding RNA (763 nucleotides) under Heterocephalus glaber (naked mole-rat). RNAcentral's name for it is "lncRNA (ENSHGLG00100051780.1)". Lineage: Eukaryota; Metazoa; Chordata; Mammalia; Rodentia; Bathyergidae. The record is from RNAcentral.